Molecule: non-coding RNA, 224 nt
Filed under: Klosneuvirus KNV1
Lineage: Varidnaviria; Bamfordvirae; Nucleocytoviricota; Megaviricetes; Imitervirales; Mimiviridae
Source: RNAcentral
CUUAUAAUUAUUUAUAAGGGAUAGACUAUGUCUUAAGCAAAAUGCCUACUACCAUAUAGUCGUUGAACUUGUCUCUAAUAGAGAUUUGCUGCAAAUUAUCCAAAUUAUUGUAUUAUUACAAUAGUAACAAUAAUCUUAGGAUUUUUUUGCAAUUUGAUAGUAUCGCAAACAUAUUUAUGUUUACUAGCUAUUAACUUUAAUACCCUUCCAAUCAAGGUAUUCAA